ACUAAGCGUACACGGUGGAUGCCCUGGCAGUCAGAGGCGAUGAAGGACGUGCUAAUCUGCGAAAAGCGUCGGUAAGGUGAUAUGAACCGUUAUAACCGGCGAUGUCCGAAUGGGGAAACCCAGUGUGAUUCGUCACACUAUCGUUAACUGAAUACAUAGGUUAACGAGGCGAACCGGGGGAACUGAAACAUCUAAGUACCCCGAGGAAAAGAAAUCAACCGAGAUUCCCCCAGUAGCGGCGAGCGAACGGGGAGCAGCCCAGAGUCUGAAUCAGCUUGUGUGUUAGUGGAACGGUCUGGAAAGUCCGACGGUACAGGGUGAUAGUCCCGUACACCAAAAUGCACAGGCUGUGAACUCGAAGAGUAGGGCGGGACACGUGGUAUCCUGUCUGAAUAUGGGGGGACCAUCCUCCAAGGCUAAAUACUCCUGACUGACCGAUAGUGAACCAGUACCGUGAGGGAAAGGCGAAAAGAACCCCGGCGAGGGGAGUGAAAAAGAACCUGAAACCGUGUACGUACAAGCAGUGGGAGCACCUUCGGGUGUGACUGCGUACCUUUUGUAUAAUGGGUCAGCGACUUAUAUUCUGUAGCAAGGUUAACCGUAUAGGGGAGCCGCAGGGAAACCGAGUCUUAACUGGGCGUUAAGUUGCAGGGUAUAGACCCGAAACCCGGUGAUCUAGCCAUGGGCAGGUUGAAGGUUGGGUAACACUAACUGGAGGACCGAACCGACUAAUGUUGAAAAAUUAGCGGAUGACUUGUGGCUGGGGGUGAAAGGCCAAUCAAACCGGGAGAUAGCUGGUUCUCCCCGAAAGCUAUUUAGGUAGCGCCUCGUGAACUCAUCUUCGGGGGUAGAGCACUGUUUCGGCUAGGGGGUCAUCCCGACUUACCAACCCGAUGCAAACUACGAAUACCGAAGAAUGUUAUCACGGGAGACACACGGCGGGUGCUAACGUCCGUCGUGAAGAGGGAAACAACCCAGACCGCCAGCUAAGGUCCCAAAGUCAUGGUUAAGUGGGAAACGAUGUGGGAAGGCACAGACAGCCAGGAUGUUGGCUUAGAAGCAGCCAUCAUUUAAAGAAAGCGUAAUAGCUCACUGGUCGAGUCGGCCUGCGCGGAAGAUGUAACGGGGCUAAACCAUGCACCGAAGCUGCGGCAGCGACACUAUGUGUUGUUGGGUAGGGGAGCGUUCUGUAAGCCUGCGAAGGUGUGCUGUGAGGCAUGCUGGAGGUAUCAGAAGUGCGAAUGCUGACAUAAGUAACGAUAAAGCGGGUGAAAAGCCCGCUCGCCGGAAGACCAAGGGUUCCUGUCCAACGUUAAUCGGGGCAGGGUGAGUCGACCCCUAAGGCGAGGCCGAAAGGCGUAGUCGAUGGGAAACAGGUUAAUAUUCCUGUACUUGGUGUUACUGCGAAGGGGGGACGGAGAAGGCUAUGUUAGCCGGGCGACGGUUGUCCCGGUUUAAGCAUGUAGGCUGGUUAUCCAGGCAAAUCCGGAUAAUCAAGGCUGAGGUGUGAUGACGAGGCACUACGGUGCUGAAGUAACAAAUGCCCUGCUUCCAGGAAAAGCCUCUAAGCAUCAGGUAACAUCAAAUCGUACCCCAAACCGACACAGGUGGUCAGGUAGAGAAUACCAAGGCGCUUGAGAGAACUCGGGUGAAGGAACUAGGCAAAAUGGUGCCGUAACUUCGGGAGAAGGCACGCUGGUGUGUAGGUGAAGUCCCUGCGGAUGGAGCUGAGACCAGUCGAAGAUACCAGCUGGCUGCAACUGUUUAUUAAAAACACAGCACUGUGCAAACACGAAAGUGGACGUAUACGGUGUGACGCCUGCCCGGUGCCGGAAGGUUAAUUGAUGGGGUUAUCCGUAAGGAGAAGCUCUUGAUCGAAGCCCCGGUAAACGGCGGCCGUAACUAUAACGGUCCUAAGGUAGCGAAAUUCCUUGUCGGGUAAGUUCCGACCUGCACGAAUGGCGUAAUGAUGGCCAGGCUGUCUCCACCCGAGACUCAGUGAAAUUGAACUCGCUGUGAAGAUGCAGUGUACCCGCGGCAAGACGGAAAGACCCCGUGAACCUUUACUAUAGCUUGACACUGAACAUUGAGCCUUGAUGUGUAGGAUAGGUGGGAGGCUUUGAAGCGUGGACGCCAGUCUGCGUGGAGCCAACCUUGAAAUACCACCCUUUAAUGUUUGAUGUUCUAACGUUGGCCCCUGACCGGGGUUGCGGACAGUGUCUGGUGGGUAGUUUGACUGGGGCGGUCUCCUCCCAAAGCGUAACGGAGGAGCACGAAGGUUAGCUAAUCCUGGUCGGACAUCAGGAGGUUAGUGCAAUGGCAUAAGCUAGCUUGACUGCGAGCGUGACGGCGCGAGCAGGUGCGAAAGCAGGUCAUAGUGAUCCGGUGGUUCUGAAUGGAAGGGCCAUCGCUCAACGGAUAAAAGGUACUCCGGGGAUAACAGGCUGAUACCGCCCAAGAGUUCAUAUCGACGGCGGUGUUUGGCACCUCGAUGUCGGCUCAUCACAUCCUGGGGCUGAAGUAGGUCCCAAGGGUAUGGCUGUUCGCCAUUUAAAGUGGUACGCGAGCUGGGUUUAGAACGUCGUGAGACAGUUCGGUCCCUAUCUGCCGUGGGCGCUGGAGAAUUGAGGGGGGCUGCUCCUAGUACGAGAGGACCGGAGUGGACGCAUCACUGGUGUUCGGGUUGUCAUGCCAAUGGCACUGCCCGGUAGCUAAAUGCGGAAGAGAUAAGUGCUGAAAGCAUCUAAGCACGAAACUUGCCCCGAGAUGAGUUCUCCCUGAGACUAUAAGUCUCCUGAAGGAACGUUAAAGACGAUGACGUUGAUAGGCCGGGUGUGUAAGCGCAGCGAUGCGUUGAGCUAACCGGUACUAAUGAACCGUGAGGCUUAACC
This 2891-nucleotide ribosomal RNA is filed under the name Klebsiella pneumoniae. RNAcentral describes it as "bacterial LSU rRNA". It matches the Rfam family "Bacterial large subunit ribosomal RNA". The record is from RNAcentral. Lineage: Bacteria; Pseudomonadati; Pseudomonadota; Gammaproteobacteria; Enterobacterales; Enterobacteriaceae.